GACGAACGCUGGCGGCGUGCCUAAUACAUGCAAGUUGAGCGAUGAAGAUUGGUGCUUGCACCAAUUUGAAGAGCAGCGAACGGGUGAGUAACGCGUGGGGAAUCUGCCUUUGAGCGGGGGACAACAUUUGGAAACGAAUGCUAAUACCGCAUAACAACUUUAAACAUAAGUUUUAAGUUUGAAAGAUGCAAUUGCAUCACUCAAAGAUGAUCCCGCGUUGUAUUAGCUAGUUGGUGAGGUAAAGGCUCACCAAGGCGAUGAUACAUAGCCGACCUGAGAGGGUGAUCGGCCACAUUGGGACUGAGACACGGCCCAAACUCCUACGGGAGGCAGCAGUAGGGAAUCUUCGGCAAUGGACGAAAGUCUGACCGAGCAACGCCGCGUGAGUGAAGAAGGGUUUCGGAUCGUAAAACUCUGUUGGUAGAGAAGAACGUUGGUGAGAGUGGAAAGCUCAUCAAGUGACGGUAACUACGCAGAAAGGGACGGCUAACUACGUG
Molecule: ribosomal RNA, 497 nt
Filed under: uncultured bacterium
Lineage: Bacteria
Description: partial 16S ribosomal RNA
Rfam family: Bacterial small subunit ribosomal RNA
Source: RNAcentral